RNAcentral lists this ribosomal RNA (464 nucleotides) under uncultured bacterium. Its description in RNAcentral is "partial 16S ribosomal RNA". It matches the Rfam family "Bacterial small subunit ribosomal RNA", at positions 28 to 507 of the family's 1533-position model. The record is from RNAcentral.
GACGAACGCUGGCGGCGUGCUUAACACAUGCAAGUCGAACGGUAAGGCCCCAGCUUGCUGGGGUACACGAGUGGCGAACGGGUGAGUAACACGUGGGUCACCUGCCCCGCACUUCGGGAUAAGCCUGGGAAACUGGGUCUAAUACCGGAUAGGACCGCACCGUGAGGGUGUGGUGGAAAGUUUUGCGGUGUGGGAUGGGCCCGCGGCCUAUCAGCUUGUUGGUGGGGUAAUGGCCUACCAAGGCGGCGACGGGUAGCCGGCCUGAGAGGGUGGACGGCCACAUUGGGACUGAGACACGGCCCAGACUCCUACGGGAGGCAGCAGUGGGGAAUAUUGCACAAUGGGCGGAAGCCUGAUGCAGCGACGCCGCGUGGGGGAUGACGGCCUUCGGGUUGUAAACUCCUUUCACCAUCGACGAAGGUUUUCUGACGGUAGAUGGAGAAGAAGCACCGGCUAACUACGUG